AUGGCGCGCACCGGCGCCGCCGCUGCCCUCUUCGUGCUCGUCUGCUGCCUCCUCGUCGGCUCUGUCCCGGCGCGCCUCCCCGUCGAGCUUCCGACGCAGGUGGUACCCGAAGCCGUUGACCUCCUGGCCACCGCCGAGCCGCUUCUGGCCAAGCAGUUGGCGGCUGCCGAGGCGGCCAACCCGACCAAAGUCCACUCCAUGAUAACAGAGGAGGAGGAGAUGGUGGUUCACCCGGCCCGCCAGCGCCCCCAGAUCAUCCGGUGCGGCGGCGGAGACGACGUGGCGGUCUCCGACGAGUCGCCCUCCUUCGGCGGCCAGGGCCAUCCAGCGUUGAAGAGCGAGGGGGAGGAGCACGGGCCGGAACAGGAGCGGCCCGGCGAGGACUCGGACACCGACAGCGACUCGGAUUCAGACGACGAGGACAAUGAGAAUGGGAUUGUGGCGUGGUUCUGGAGGCUGGCGCGUCGCUUCUGA
This 474-nucleotide ribosomal RNA is filed under the name Triticum aestivum (bread wheat). RNAcentral describes it as "partial small subunit ribosomal RNA". The record is from RNAcentral. Lineage: Eukaryota; Viridiplantae; Streptophyta; Magnoliopsida; Poales; Poaceae.